This 305-nucleotide ribosomal RNA is filed under the name uncultured bacterium. RNAcentral describes it as "bacterial SSU rRNA". It matches the Rfam family "Bacterial small subunit ribosomal RNA", at positions 338 to 660 of the family's 1533-position model. The record is from RNAcentral.
CCUACGGGGGGCAGCAGUCGGGAAUAUUGCGCAAUGGAGGAAACUCUGACGCAGUGACGCCGCGUGCAGGAAGAAGGUUUUCGUAUUGUAAGCUCUAUCAGCAGGGAAGAAAAAAGACGGUACCUGACUAAGAAGCCCCGGCUAACUACGUGCCAGCAGCCGCGGUAAUACGUAGGGGGCAAGCGUUAUCCGGAUUUACUGGGUGUAAAGGGAGCGUAGACGGCAUAGCAAGUCUGAAGUGAAAGCCCGUGGCUCAACCGCGGAACUGCUUUGGAAACUGUUAAGCUGGAGUACUGGAGAGGCAA